GCUACCUGCAGUCGACGGUAGCACAGAGAGCUUGCUCUCGGGUGACGAGUGGCGGACGGGUGAGUAAUGUCUGGGAAACUGCCUGAUGGAGGGGGAUAACUACUGGAAACGGUAGCUAAUACCGCAUAACGUCGCAAGACCAAAGAGGGGGACCUUCGGGCCUCUUGCCAUCAGAUGUGCCCAGAUGGGAUUAGCUAGUAGGUGGGGUAACGGCUCACCUAGGCGACGAUCCCUAGCUGGUCUGAGAGGAUGACCAGCCACACUGGAACUGAGACACGGUCCAGACUCCUACGGGAGGCAGCAGUGGGGAAUAUUGCACAAUGGGCGCAAGCCUGAUGCAGCCAUGCCGCGUGUAUGAAGAAGGCCUUCGGGUUGUAAAGUACUUUCAGCGGGGAGGAAGGUGUUGUGGUUAAUAACCGCAGCAAUUGACGUUACCCGCAGAAGAAGCACCGGCUAACUCCGUGCCAGCAGCCGCGGUAAUACGGAGGGUGCAAGCGUUAAUCGGAAUUACUGGGCGUAAAGCGCACGCAGGCGGUCUGUCAAGUCGGAUGUGAAAUCCCCGGGCUCAACCUGGGAACUGCAUUCGAAACUGGCAGGCUAGAGUCUUGUAGAGGGGGGUAGAAUUCCAGGUGUAGCGGUGAAAUGCGUAGAGAUCUGGAGGAUACCGGUGGCGAAGGCGGCCCCCUGGACAAAGACUGACGCUCAGGUGCGAAAGCG
This 717-nucleotide ribosomal RNA is filed under the name uncultured bacterium. RNAcentral describes it as "bacterial SSU rRNA". It matches the Rfam family "Bacterial small subunit ribosomal RNA", at positions 50 to 761 of the family's 1533-position model. The record is from RNAcentral.